Anas platyrhynchos (mallard) is the source of this 1807-nucleotide non-coding RNA. Lineage: Eukaryota; Metazoa; Chordata; Aves; Anseriformes; Anatidae. The record is from RefSeq and is a predicted model, not a curated record.
ACCUGCAGAAACGUGAGCAUCUCCAAAGCAAUCGUGAGCAAGGACUUCACCCAGAAAAAAAAAGAGGAGGGAGGAGGACCGUAGCCAUAACGCCAUGCCCUCAAUCAGCUCCUGCAGCUAAUUACAACUAAUUACCCCGUGCAAAUUGACGGCCAGGGCUCGGGGGGCAGGCCCCAGGGAACCAGCGGAGCCAAGUGGCAAAGGGACAAGGGGAUUUGGGGUGAGAUUACGAGAGCAAAAAGGGGACCAAGGGAGGCGUCGGGCAGCAGAGCCGCGUUUAACGGCGCACGGCUCGAGGGCCCCGGCGGCGAUCGGUGCCAGGACCCGGCCCCGUCUUUAAUUUACGGACAAUUUGAUGGCGGUGCUGAUCCCGACGAGCUGCUGGACACCGGCUGCAGCUCUUCCCCGACCCCAUUUUUGCUCUUUGAACCAGCAGAGAGGCGGCAGCGGAUCUGGGAGCACACGACGGAGGAGAUUUUGGCUGGGUUGGCUGCCAGAAACUUUACCCAAGCUGAAAAGGGAAAAGCCACGCUGCCAAACCGUCCCAAACCACGUAAAGGGAUUGCCGUUGCACACCGCGCCCGCGUUAUUGCAUCCAGCCCUUAUCUACGUGGCUCACCCUGCUCCAAAACCUUUAUUUGAAGCUUUUAAAACGUUUUAAAAAAGGGAGAAGCUGGAGCCACGGAGAGCAGGGCUGUAAAACCGGAGGCAGGGAUGCCCCUGCUAAUUCUGGCCGCGUCCCGGUCCGUGCGCGACCACGGGGAACCUCACUGCCCACGCAGGGGCGAACACGUUCACCUCUUUCUUCAGCCUCGGGGAUAAAAAUGCGAGCAGCUGCCAGCCCCGGGAACAAAUAUGGGAUUGUUUCAAGCAGUGACACCCAGGCUGCAAGCACGGGAGCUCCGUGGUGGACAGCCCUCGGCCACCAGCACCUGGUUUGUCUCGGCGCUCUGAAUUCGGGGCACCUUUUUUAGGUAAUUACCCGAAUUUUUACCGCUGCGCACCCUGAAAAAGAAACCUCUGAAGUUCUCCGGUUUGGCCUGUAGCUGCUCUUAAAAUCUGCUGCCACGGCCACGAUCACACGAGGGGGUUUUGGGGAGCUGGUUCCUGAGCUGCUCAUCCAGCGAAGGGAAAUUCACAGAAAAUCCCGUUUCUGGAAAAAGACUCGCUGACAGCAAAGAAAAGCCACGUUUUGGCUACCCAAACCCAAAAGUGCCCCGAUUUUAGGCUGAAAAGGACAAAGUCGGCGCUGCUCCCUGCAGCCCCUCUCCCUUGCUUGUUACCAGCCCAUGCCGCUUGCUUUAGGACCAGCAGCUCCCCUAUAAAGGGCCUUAAAAUCCUCCACUAACGCCUCUGAUGAGAAUUUUAGGACUAAUUAACUCUUGGCCUGAUUUUUCAGGGGGAAAACAGGACAGGCAGGAGCGAUGCUCACCCUGGGGGGGCACAGAAAGAGCAGCCGCACACCCACGCCCAGGGGGAUGCUGUGGGUCCGUGCACCCCCGACCAGCAAGGAAAGCAGGACCUGAAGGCUCGUAAUUAAUUCUGUGAACAUCUAAUUAACAUUUUUCCCACCAGGAGAGCCAAAAGGGGCUCGUGGUGGUCAGCUGGUGGGUUGUGGUAGCGCCGGGACGCGGCAAUCCCCUCGCUCUCGGGUUUGAGCUGCUGCUAAGGGCACGGUUCAGAGGUCAGCCCUAUAAUUCAGCCAAAAAGGGGGGAGCCACGGCGAGGUGCUGAAUGAUUUAAACCAUCGUUCUCCCUCCCUUUUUUCCCCCCGGUGAAGGGAGCCACCUGUUCGCGGGGCUGGAGC